Molecule: ribosomal RNA, 250 nt
Filed under: uncultured bacterium
Lineage: Bacteria
Description: partial 16S ribosomal RNA
Rfam family: Bacterial small subunit ribosomal RNA
Source: RNAcentral
UACGUAAGGGGCAAGCGUUAUCCGGAUUUACUGGGUGUAAAGGGAGCGUAGACGGCUGAAUAAGUCAGAUGUGAAAACUUGGGGCUCAACCCCAAGAGUGCAUUUGAAACUAUGCAGCUAGAGUGUCGGAGAGGUAAGUGGAAUUCCUAGUGUAGCGGUGAAAUGCGUAGAUAUUAGGAGGAACACCAGUGGCGAAGGCGACUUACUGGACGAUGACUGACGUUGAGGCUCGAAAGCGUGGGGAGCAAAC